AUAUGAUGAAAUUUUGGUUCUUUGUUAGGAUUGUGUUUAAUUAUUCAGGUACUGAGAGGAAUUUUUCUUACUAUAUACAGUAUACUUCAUGUAUUGAAUAUUCAUUUGAUUGUUAUUCAUAUUAUACAGUGUGUUAAUUAUGGAUGGGUAUUAUGGUAUAUUCAUGCAAAUGGGGCUUCUUUUUUUUUUUUUU
This is a long non-coding RNA of Octopus sinensis (East Asian common octopus), 193 nucleotides long. RefSeq lists it as uncharacterized. The record is from RefSeq and is a predicted model, not a curated record. The transcript has 5 exons. NCBI's taxonomy places the organism in Eukaryota, Metazoa, Mollusca, Cephalopoda, Octopoda, Octopodidae.